ACGUUUCUCUCUUACUCUCUCCUCUGUCUAAACAGAAACUGAGUUCACCACAUCAAGAGGCAUGUAUAAGACAUUGUAUUAAUAUAGUGCUCGAGUUACUGCAGAUAUAAGAAGCAUUAGUUAAUAGUAAAAAUGAUGUUUCUAAACAUAGAAUGAUAUGAAAAUAUUUCAGCGCGAUAUAAUAUCAGAAUGCAGGUACAUCAGGAAACUUAUAAGGCCUCGUUUUGGUCCUGUAGAAUGAAUAUGAUACCUGACGAAAUGAACAUAUAAAAGAUUGGGAUAGCCGGGAUGACCUAUUUCAAGAUCAGAUGAUCCACCUCUUUGUCUGCAUGGAAGGCAAAACAUAAAUUACGAUGGUCGUCUUUAUGUUCUUACAAUUUCUAGAGAACUCUAAAGCAUGUAGAUGAACCAAAAAAUCUACAGAUCCAUGGAUUCAACUUAUCAAAAUCGAUUUAUAAUGUUAGCUAAAAAUACAUAAAGAACAUACGAAGACAGUAAAUUUACACUGUUUUCCCACUGAAGAAACUCUAAAUUUCAUUCUAAGGCAGGUUGCUUGGGGAGAAAAAUUGGACCAAGGAUUUUGGGGACACAGCUCGAAUCAACUGUAUGCUUCUAAGCCCCAUAUUUUUUGUCUUUUUAUGUGCAUAGUAUCUUUGAUAUCUCCUUUGAAUCGUGCUCGUCUAGAGGGAGAUUGGUGUUAUGGCCUAUUACAAAUGUUCUUCUAGUUAUUUCACACUUUACACAACAGAUCAGUACAAAAAAUAACACAGGAGAUCGGUAUAUGAAAGACAAGACAUCUUUGUAGAGUCAUUUACUUCAUUGUUACACAUCAAAAAAGAGUAGCUUAGUCAUAUACUCAUAUAUGUGUAAUUGUAGUACAAAGUAGUCUUAAGGAACUGGUCCUCUCUCGACUGCAAUUCACAGUUAUUCCCAUCAAUAACGUGAGAAAGAACGUGGUGCAAGAGAAGAGAAAACAAUUUCUCAGAAAGUGUCUAGGGGAGAUUGGUUUAAUCGCCUGUUGUUCUUUUAGUUAUUUCGCCUUUUCACAAGAGAUCAGCAAAAAAUUAACAUAAGAGGUCGGUAUAUGAAAGACGAGAGAUCUUUGUAGAGUCAUUUUCUUCUAUUAAAAUCACUAGCUCAAAUUCUUCAUUCUUCUGUACAUUGUUAGGUCCCUGAGGUGAUAUAUCAAGUAUUGGAAGAACCUUCAGACGAGGUUGAAAUCGAAGAAGGGCCUGAUACUCCUCAAUCAUUAGAAGAGUUUAUGGAAGAAAUGAAGGAUAUAAGGCCAGAUGCAGAAACUUUUGCUGUCAAGCUUAAAACUAUGGUAUUAUGUACUUACCAUGCCUUUUCAUCAUAUAUAGAAAUGAAGUAAUUUUAAGGUAACGUAUUAUGUCAUAGACAAAAAACUGCAUGCGAACAAAGAAUUUUACUUGGUUUACUUUCUCGACUAUUGUAAGAUGUCAGUCGUUUAAGUUGCGGAGACAGCCUCUUGUAGAAAUGCAAGGUGAGGCUGCUUGGACUCUUCAAAAUUGCCCACGGGUGUGUGCCGGAUACUUUAAAAGUAAUGCAUUUUUGAAAAGUUCAACAUGGGUGCGGCAACAUUUUUGGAGAGUCUGAGCAACAUUGCCCGCAGCAGACCAAUGGACGAACACCAGUUGAUAAUGGAGUAACAGCCAUGACACGUUCACAAUGUAAUAAUAUUAACUACUUAAGGUCUGACUAGUGUUGAAUUGUAUGACCAUCUCAUCGGAAGGCUUAAGCUAUUUGAGAGAGCAUGUUUUCAUUUACUAAAUUAUGUUGAAUUUCUUGAAGGUAACUCUCCUUGAACAAAGAACAAGAACUGCCAAGAUUCAAGAAUACCUUUAUCGGCAUGUGGCAUCUAGUGGCAUCCCGAAACAGCUGCACUGCCUUGAUCUCAAGCUAGCACACGAGCACUCCAUCAAUGCCAAUGCCCGUCUCCAGUUACCAUCAGCGGAACUUGUUCCUGCCCUCGUUGAUAAUUCAUACUU
This 2009-nucleotide long non-coding RNA is filed under the name Capsicum annuum. Its description in RNAcentral is "long non-coding RNA (CANN_LNC015041)". The record is from RNAcentral. Lineage: Eukaryota; Viridiplantae; Streptophyta; Magnoliopsida; Solanales; Solanaceae.